RNAcentral lists this ribosomal RNA (254 nucleotides) under uncultured bacterium. RNAcentral's name for it is "partial 16S ribosomal RNA". It matches the Rfam family "Bacterial small subunit ribosomal RNA", at positions 524 to 776 of the family's 1533-position model. The record is from RNAcentral.
UACGAAGGGGGCUAGCGUUGUCCGGAAUUAUUGGGGCGUAAAGAGCUUGUAGGCGGUUUGUCGCGUCUGCUGUGAAAAUCCGGGGCUCAACCCCGGACUUGCAGUGGGUACGGGCAGACUAGAGUGUGGUAGGGGAGACUGGAAUUCCUGGUGUAGCGGUGGAAUGCGCAGAUAUCAGGAGGAACACCGGUGGCGAAGGCGGGUCUCUGGGCCGAUACUGACGCUGAGGAGCGAAAGCGUGGGGAGCAAACAGG